GGGAGCGGAUGGGUAGCUGGUGCGCCUCGCGGUCUUCAAAACCGAGUGCGUCGGAUGGUGUCCGAUGGGUGGGUUCGAUUCCCACACGUUCCCGCCA
RNAcentral lists this transfer RNA (97 nucleotides) under Fodinisporobacter ferrooxydans. Its description in RNAcentral is "Alicyclobacillaceae bacterium MYW30-H2 tRNA-Sec". It matches the Rfam family "Selenocysteine transfer RNA". The record is from RNAcentral. Lineage: Bacteria; Bacillati; Bacillota; Bacilli; Caryophanales; Alicyclobacillaceae.